RNAcentral lists this ribosomal RNA (301 nucleotides) under uncultured bacterium. Its description in RNAcentral is "partial 16S ribosomal RNA". It matches the Rfam family "Bacterial small subunit ribosomal RNA", at positions 509 to 809 of the family's 1533-position model. The record is from RNAcentral.
CAGUAGCCGCGGUAAUACGUAGGUCCCGAGCGUUGUCCGGAAUUAUUGGGCGUAAAGCGCGCGCAGGUGGUUUAAUAAGUCUGAUGUGAAAGCCCACGGCUCAACCGUGGAGGGUCAUUGGAAACUGUUAAGCUUGAGUGCAGGAGAGAAAAGUGGAAUUCCUAGUGUAGCGGUGAAAUGCGUAGAGAUUAGGAGGAACACCAGUGGCGAAGGCGGCUUUUUGGCCUGUAACUGACACUGAGGCGCGAAAGCGUGGGGAGCAAACAGGAUUAGAUACCCCAGUAGUCCCUGUCUCUUAUAA